GAUGAACGCUGGCGGCGUGCCUUAUACAUGCAAGUCGAGUGGGUUUAGACCCACGGCAAACGGGUGAGUAACACGUAGGUACUUUCCUUGUCACAGGAAUACCCCUCCGAAAGGAGGGCUAAUACCUGAUGUGAUCGCAAGAUUACAGGGUAUCCGCACGGAUUCCCGGACAAGAAGAGGCCUGCGGCCUAUCAGCUAGUUGGCGGGGUAAAUGCCCACCAAGGCUAUGACGGGUAGCUGGUCGUAUGAGGAUGAUCAGUCACAUGGGCACUGAGACACGGGCCCAACUCCUACGGGAGGCAGCAGUAGGGAAGUUUGCGCAAUGGGCGAAAGCCUGACGCAGCGACGCCGCGUGCGGGAUGAAGGCCUUCGGGUCGUAAACCGCUUUUAUAAGGGACGAACUUUGACGGUACCUGAUGAAUAAGAGGUUGCUAACUCUGUG
Molecule: ribosomal RNA, 442 nt
Filed under: uncultured bacterium
Lineage: Bacteria
Description: partial 16S ribosomal RNA
Rfam family: Bacterial small subunit ribosomal RNA
Source: RNAcentral